Long non-coding RNA from Mesocricetus auratus (golden hamster), 741 nucleotides. RefSeq lists it as uncharacterized. The transcript is spliced from 2 exons. NCBI's taxonomy places the organism in Eukaryota, Metazoa, Chordata, Mammalia, Rodentia, Cricetidae. The record is from RefSeq and is a predicted model, not a curated record.
GAACCCCAUCUCUACACCUAUAGGAAUCCCUCCUCCCUCAGACCCAGGAGCCCAGACCCCAGCCUUCCUUCCUCAGAUUGGGGGCGAAGUCCCAGCCCUCUUGCUUCACUCAGAUCUCAGAAGCCGCUACCUGCUCCAAGGCUUCCUUACCCCUCGAUCGUGCAGCUUCAUGCGGAGGUCCCAGUCAGCAACACCACGCCGGGCGUCAUAGCGGGAACCCAGGUCCAGCGCUGGCGACAUUCCCCACCAGGACACAGAGCCGUAGCCGGCCCCGGAGCCCGCCGGUGUGGUCAUCGCCCUGCGGGACAAGGAUCCUGGGAACUCCACGUUGUCCCCACCGUCCCUCUCUCACUGCCCCUCGCUUCUUGCCCCUCCGCCUCACCUUUAACCUUCCAAAUACCCGGAGGUGGCUCUUCUCCCGCAGAGUGAUGGGGCUGAGCUCCACAAAGCCUGCCCAAACUGUCUCCCAGAGGCUCCGCCCUCUAUGAGCAGUCAGCCAAUGGGAGCAGGUAGCCUUGCGUCGUUGUUAUCAACUGACCAAUGAACGUGAAAAGGUACCGCUCACUGCUAACUUUUGACCAACAGAAGCACCGAGGGACGGCUGGGGCGUGGUCCGGAAAAGGACGCCGGACGCGGUUGUCAUGACGACAGCCCGGCCAGAGGAGGGCGGACUUUGGAUCCGUCCAAAUUUCUAAGAAGGAAAGGACUUAGCUUGCUGCUUCACAUUAAAUCAGAACGGAA